GACGUGUUAAUUCAAUGGAAGAAUAGCGUGCUACGGACAUGUUAAUACAAGUUCGAGUCUUGUACACGUUA
Molecule: transfer RNA, 71 nt
Filed under: Paecilomyces variotii
Lineage: Eukaryota; Fungi; Ascomycota; Eurotiomycetes; Eurotiales; Thermoascaceae
Also listed under: 1 other name
Description: tRNA-Arg
Rfam family: tRNA
About the family: Transfer RNA (tRNA) molecules are approximately 80 nucleotides in length. Their secondary structure includes four short double-helical elements and three loops (D, anti-codon, and T loops).
Source: RNAcentral